This 737-nucleotide long non-coding RNA is filed under the name Sus scrofa (pig). RNAcentral's name for it is "lncRNA (ENSSSCG00045006750.1)". Lineage: Eukaryota; Metazoa; Chordata; Mammalia; Artiodactyla; Suidae. The record is from RNAcentral.
CAGCUGGUAGCGGCCAGUAAGGAGGCUAGUGCCAAGAUUCAGGAGCGAAAGGUUGAGGCCUGGAAUAGGGCCGAACCCCGAAGGCGGUUUUGAGGUAGAAAUUACGGGCCUUGCUUUGGGGUUGGGGCGUGGGGGUGGCGCUGGGUCUUGGCGCCUCGGUUGGGUGCGUGUUCUCCUACGCGCCACUAGGUGGGGCUGUCAUGGAAAGGAGGCCCCGUCCCUGCUCUCAGGAGACUUACAUUCCGCCAGGAGAAAGGUAGCGUAGCCCGCGAGGGCUGCAGUGCCCGUGCACGCAGGAACUCCCAAGAUAAAUGCACGUGGUGGUAAGUGCUCCGAAGAGAUUACACAGGGCGGGGGGGCGGGGGAGUGGCCUGGGAGACGUGGGAGCCACGACCUCAGUGCUAAGCAGGAGCCCGCCAUGCAGUAUUGCCGCCCUUGCUUCCCCUCAAAAGGUGGCAAACGCCUGCACCCCCUGCACCAAACUAACCAGCGAGGCGCGCUUGGCCUCCCUUCGAGAAGGGAAGCAGCGGUCGGGCCGGGGCGGAGGAGGGCCGGGCGCCAGAAGGGCCUUUGGGCUUGUACCGUGCAGGUGCCUGGGAGAUAAUGAAGCGGCGCUGACCCGGGCUGUGGAGGCCAGAGAGGCCUGCCACGGCGUCUGGAAGAACAUGGCACUUAGAAGAGGGCACAGGAGGACAAGCCAGCCACCACGGCGCGAGAAGAAGCCGCCGGAAAGAUGA